GAUACCGUAGCCAAGUGGCAAGGCUCUGGGCUGCAACCCCAGGAUCAUAGGUUCAAAUCCUAUCGGUAUCUCCA
RNAcentral lists this transfer RNA (74 nucleotides) under Dysosmobacter segnis. Its description in RNAcentral is "tRNA-Cys". It matches the Rfam family "tRNA". From Rfam's summary of the family: Transfer RNA (tRNA) molecules are approximately 80 nucleotides in length. Their secondary structure includes four short double-helical elements and three loops (D, anti-codon, and T loops). Lineage: Bacteria; Bacillati; Bacillota; Clostridia; Eubacteriales; Oscillospiraceae. The record is from RNAcentral. RNAcentral also lists the same sequence under 2 other names.